Molecule: ribosomal RNA, 253 nt
Filed under: uncultured bacterium
Lineage: Bacteria
Description: partial 16S ribosomal RNA
Rfam family: Bacterial small subunit ribosomal RNA
Source: RNAcentral
UACGUAGGGUGCGAGCGUUAAUCGGAAUUACUGGGCGUAAAGAGCUCGUAGGUGGUUUGUCGCGUUGUCCGUGAAAACUCACAACUCAAUUGUGGGCGUGCGGGCGAUACGGGCAGACUGGAGUACUGCAGGGGAGACUGGAAUUCCAGGUGUAGCGGUGAAAUGCGUAGAUAUCUGGAGGAACACCGGUGGCGAAGGCGGCAUCCUGGACCAACACUGACGCUGAGGCACGAAAGUGUGGGGAUCAAACAGG